GCGGCGUGCCUAAUACAUGCAAGUCGAGCGAACAGACAAGGAGCUUGCUCCUUUGACGUUAGCGGCGGACGGGUGAGUAACACGUGGGUAACCUACCUAUAAGACUGGGAUAACUUCGGGAAACCGGAGCUAAUACCGGAUAAUAUUUCGAACCGCAUGGUUCGAUAGUGAAAGAUGGUUUUGCUAUCACUUAUAGAUGGACCCGCGCCGUAUUAGCUAGUUGGUAAGGUAACGGCUUACCAAGGCGACGAUACGUAGCCGACCUGAGAGGGUGAUCGGCCACACUGGAACUGAGACACGGUCCAGACUCCUACGGGAGGCAGCAGUAGGGAAUCUUCCGCAAUGGGCGAAAGCCUGACGGAGCAACGCCGCGUGAGUGAUGAAGGUCUUCGGAUCGUAAAACUCUGUUAUUAGGGAAGAACAUACGUGUAAGUAACUAUGCACGUCUUGACGGUACCUAAUCAGAAAGCCACGGCUAACUACGUGCCAGCAGCCGCGGUAAUACGUAGGUGGCAAGCGUUAUCCGGAAUUAUUGGGCGUAAAGCGCGCGUAGGCGGUUUUUUAAGUCUGAUGUGAAAGCCCACGGCUCAACCGUGGAGGGUCAUUGGAAACUGGAAAACUUGAGUGCAGAAGAGGAAAGUGGAAUUCCAUGUGUAGCGGUGAAAUGCGCAGAGAUAUGGAGGAACACCAGUGGCGAAGGCGACUUUCUGGUCUGUAACUGACGCUGAUGUGCGAAAGCGUGGGGAUCAAACAGGAUUAGAUACCCUGGUAGUCCACGCCGUAAACGAUGAGUGCUAAGUGUUAGGGGGUUUCCGCCCCUUAGUGCUGCAGCUAACGCAUUAAGCACUCCGCCUGGGGAGUACGACCGCAAGGUUGAAACUCAAAGGAAUUGACGGGGACCCGCACAAGCGGUGGAGCAUGUGGUUUAAUUCGAAGCAACGCGAAGAACCUUACCAAAUCUUGACAUCCUUUGACAACUCUAGAGAUAGAGCCUUCCCCUUCGGGGGACAAAGUGACAGGUGGUGCAUGGUUGUCGUCAGCUCGUGUCGUGAGAUGUUGGGUUAAGUCCCGCAACGAGCGCAACCCUUAAGCUUAGUUGCCAUCAUUAAGUUGGGCACUCUAAGUUGACUGCCGGUGACAAACCGGAGGAAGGUGGGGAUGACGUCAAAUCAUCAUGCCCCUUAUGAUUUGGGCUACACACGUGCUACAAUGGACAAUACAAAGGGCAGCGAAACCGCGAGGUCAAGCAAAUCCCAUAAAGUUGUUCUCAGUUCGGAUUGUAGUCUGCAACUCGACUACAUGAAGCUGGAAUCGCUAGUAAUCGUAGAUCAGCAUGCUACGGUGAAUACGUUCCCGGGUCUUGUACACACCGCCCGUCACACCACGAGAGUUUGUAACACCCGAAGCCGGUGGAGUAACCAUUUGGAGCUAGCCGUCGAAG
RNAcentral lists this ribosomal RNA (1441 nucleotides) under Staphylococcus sp. CIFRI CH-TSB23. RNAcentral describes it as "bacterial SSU rRNA". It matches the Rfam family "Bacterial small subunit ribosomal RNA". Lineage: Bacteria; Bacillati; Bacillota; Bacilli; Caryophanales; Staphylococcaceae. The record is from RNAcentral.